UAGAUUGAAGCUCGCUGGCUUAGGCUUUUAGUUGUUAACUAAAUAUUUAUGGGAUCAAGGCCCAUCGAUCUAG
RNAcentral lists this transfer RNA (73 nucleotides) under Aprasia parapulchella. Its description in RNAcentral is "tRNA-Asn". The record is from RNAcentral. Lineage: Eukaryota; Metazoa; Chordata; Lepidosauria; Squamata; Pygopodidae.